AACUUUCAGCAACGGAUCUCUUGGCUCUCGCAUCGAUGAAGAACGCAGCGAAAUGCGAUAAGUAAUGUGAAUUGCAGAAUUCAGUGAAUCAUCGAAUCUUUGAACGCACCCUUGCGCCCUUUGGCUAUUCCGAAGGGCAUGCCUGUUUGAGUAUCAUG
Molecule: ribosomal RNA, 158 nt
Filed under: Thelephoraceae sp. AT98H33a1
Lineage: Eukaryota; Fungi; Basidiomycota; Agaricomycetes; Thelephorales; Thelephoraceae
Also listed under: 1 other name
Description: 5.8S ribosomal RNA
Rfam family: 5.8S ribosomal RNA
About the family: 5.8S ribosomal RNA (5.8S rRNA) is a component of the large subunit of the eukaryotic ribosome. It is transcribed by RNA polymerase I as part of the 45S precursor that also contains 18S and 28S rRNA. Functionally, it is thought that 5.8S rRNA may be involved in ribosome translocation.
Source: RNAcentral